GAGAGUGUAGCUCAGUGGUAGACUGCAUGCUUAGCAUGCACGAGGUCCUGGGUUCAAUCCCCAGUAUCUCCA
RNAcentral lists this transfer RNA (72 nucleotides) under Camelus bactrianus (Bactrian camel). It matches the Rfam family "tRNA". Rfam says of the family: Transfer RNA (tRNA) molecules are approximately 80 nucleotides in length. RNAcentral also lists the same sequence under 2 other names. Lineage: Eukaryota; Metazoa; Chordata; Mammalia; Artiodactyla; Camelidae. The record is from Rfam by way of RNAcentral.